GGCCAGGUUUGUGACCUGGCAGGACAGCUUGGCUGACUUGGUGAGGAAGAUGCCGACAAAGGAGGGGGGGAUGGCGAAGAUUCUGAUAGGGCCAGGUGACUUGGGGCC
Molecule: non-coding RNA, 108 nt
Organism: Ceratotherium simum simum (southern white rhinoceros)
Lineage: Eukaryota; Metazoa; Chordata; Mammalia; Perissodactyla; Rhinocerotidae
Source: RefSeq, a predicted model, not a curated record